Molecule: ribosomal RNA, 466 nt
Filed under: uncultured bacterium
Lineage: Bacteria
Description: partial 16S ribosomal RNA
Rfam family: Bacterial small subunit ribosomal RNA
Source: RNAcentral
GACGAACGCUGGCGGCGCGCCUAACACAUGCAAGUCGAACGAGCGAGAGGAGGUUUACUUUCUCAAGCGAGUGGCGAACGGGUGAGUAACGCGUGAGGAACCUGCCUCAAAGAGGGGGACAACAGUUGGAAACGACUGCUAAUACCGCAUAAGCCCACGACCCGGCCUCGGGUAGAGGGAAAAGGAGCAAUCCGCUUUGAGAUGGCCUCGCGUCCGAUUAGCUAGUUGGUGAGGUAAUGGCCCACCAAGGCGACGAUCGGUAGCCGGACUGAGAGGUUGAACGGCCACAUUGGGACUGAGACACGGCCCAGACUCCUACGGGAGGCAGCAGUGGGGAAUAUUGCACAAUGGGGGAAACCCUGAUGCAGCGACGCCGCGUGGAGGAAGAAGGUCUUCGGAUUGUAAACUCCUGUUGUUGAGGAAGAUAAUGACGGUACUCAACAAGGAAGUGACGGCUAACUACGUG